RNAcentral lists this ribosomal RNA (374 nucleotides) under uncultured organism. RNAcentral's name for it is "partial 16S ribosomal RNA". It matches the Rfam family "Bacterial small subunit ribosomal RNA", at positions 527 to 896 of the family's 1533-position model. The record is from RNAcentral.
GGAGGAGGCAAGCGUUGUCCGGAAUCAUUGGGCGUAAAGAGCGCGUAGGCUGUUUUUCAAGUCAUAUGUGAAAACCUCAGGCUUAACUUGAGGACUGCAUAUGAAACUGGGAAACUUGAGUGCAGUAGGGGAAAGUGGAAUUCCUGGUGUAGCGGUGAAAUGCGCAGAUAUCAGGAAGAACACCGGUAGCGAAGGCGGCUUUCUGGGCUGCUACUGACGCUGAGGCGCGAAAGCUAGGGGGGAGCAAACAGGAUUAGAUACCCUGGUAGUCCUAGCUGUAAACGAUGGACACUAGGUGUGGGAAGUUAUCGACGCUUUCCGUGCCGGAGCUAACGCAUUAAGUGUCCCCGCCUGGGAGUACGGUCGCAAGACUA